Molecule: ribosomal RNA, 234 nt
Filed under: uncultured bacterium
Lineage: Bacteria
Description: partial 16S ribosomal RNA
Rfam family: Bacterial small subunit ribosomal RNA
Source: RNAcentral
CGGACGGGUGAGUAACGCGUGGGUAACCUGCCUUGUACUGGGGACAACAGUUAGAAAUGACUGCUAAUACCGCAUAAGCGCACAGUAUCGCAUGAUACAGUGUGAAAAACUCCGGUGGUACAAGAUGGACCCGCGUCUGAUUAGCUAGUUGGUAAGGUAACGGCUUACCAAGGCGACGAUCAGUAGCCGACCUGAGAGGGUGACCGGCCACAUUGGGACUGAGACACGGCCCAA